This 420-nucleotide ribosomal RNA is filed under the name uncultured bacterium. Its description in RNAcentral is "bacterial SSU rRNA". It matches the Rfam family "Bacterial small subunit ribosomal RNA", at positions 355 to 792 of the family's 1533-position model. The record is from RNAcentral.
UGGGGAAUAUUGCGCAAUGGGGGAAACCCUGACGCAGCAACGCCGCGUGAGUGAUGAAGGUUUUCGGAUCGUAAAACUCUGUCAUUAGGGACGAUAAUGACGGUACCUAAUGAGGAAGCCACGGCUAACUACGUGCCAGCAGCCGCGGUAAUACGUAGGUGGCAAGCGUUGUCCGGAUUUACUGGGCGUAAAGAGUAUGUAGGUGGGCAUUUAAGUCAGAUGUGAAAUUCCCGGGCUUAACCUGGGAGCUGCAUUUGAUACUGGGUGUCUAGAGUGCAGGAGAGGAAAGUGGAAUUCCUAGUGUAGCGGUGAAAUGCGCAGAUAUCAGGAGGAACACCGAUGGCGAAGGCAGGUCUCUGGGCAGUAACUGACGCUGAGGAGCGAAAGCAUGGGGAGCGAACAGGAUUAGAUACCCUGGUA